AGAGUUUGAUCAUGGCUCAGAGCGAACGCUGGCGGCAGGCUUAACACAUGCAAGUCGAACGGGCACCUUCGGGUGUCAGUGGCAGACGGGUGAGUAACACGUGGGAACGUACCCUUCGGUUCGGAACAACUCUGGGAAACUGGAGCUAAUACCGGAUACGCCCUUGGCCUUUGGCCCUGGGGAAAGGUUUACUGCCGAAGGAUCGGCCCGCGUCUGAUUAGCUAGUUGGUGAGGUAACGGCUCACCAAGGCGACGAUCAGUAGCUGGUCUGAGAGGAUGAUCAGCCACACUGGGACUGAGACACGGCCCAGACUCCUACGGGAGGCAGCAGUGGGGAAUAUUGGACAAUGGGCGCAAGCCUGAUCCAGCCAUGCCGCGUGAGUGAUGAAGGCCUUAGGGUUGUAAAGCUCUUUUGUCCGGGACGAUAAUGACGGUACCGGAAGAAUAAGCCCCGGCUAACUUCGUGCCAGCAGCCGCGGUAAUACGAAGGGGGCUAGCGUUGCUCGGAAUCACUGGGCGUAAAGGGCGCGUAGGCGGCCUGAUCAGUCGGGGGUGAAAGCCUGUGGCUCAACCACAGAAUGGCCUUCGAUACUGUCAGGCUUGAGACCGGAAGAGGUAAGUGGAACUGCGAGUGUAGAGGUGAAAUUCGUAGAUAUUCGCAAGAACACCAGUGGCGAAAGCGGCUUACUGGUCCGGAUCU
RNAcentral lists this ribosomal RNA (700 nucleotides) under uncultured bacterium. RNAcentral's name for it is "bacterial SSU rRNA". It matches the Rfam family "Bacterial small subunit ribosomal RNA", at positions 8 to 741 of the family's 1533-position model. The record is from RNAcentral.